GACGCCGUGGGAUAGCAAACAGAUUACAGUGCUCAUCAAAGCCAGGACACGCAGUAUGAGCGUCAAUCGAAAAACGCCACCCAACGGCCUUCUCAACUUGGUCCAUCACGGCUAGGUAUUAUUAUUAUUAUUGUCACCGGUGUCCGCUCAACCUGGCGUGUGUUAAGGGGGAACGCUCUGAGGUCUGCACCUAGUCAGUCCUAUAUGCUAUAUUCCCACCGUGUCACCUCUACGGGCCCUUUUCCACCCUAGAGUUCCACCUAUCGUUGGUGAGGACGCCACACUGUCGCUGUGGGACACGACCAGUUAUCGCAACCUGCCGGAGUCUGGUGCUCCUGUUACAACUUCAGGCCACGUGCCUGUCGCACCGCCUCCCUACCCUUACACUACUGCACUCUACACAGCACCCUGCGCUUUGUCCUGGCGGAGGGUAGUUAACCCCCUACGACCCGCUUCACCCGCUGGGGGAUUCCGCACCCCUCGUAGAGGUCACCAUCUAAGGCUCGUGCGAGGUUCGGCCUAGCCAUGCUACAGCAGCUUCUUGAUAGGUACUUUGCUUGGACAGCUCCAUUGACCUUGUGCAACCAUUCCUCCUCCUCCUCGGCGCCUAGCCUUCUGGUGACGGACUUGUCAUCACAUACACCACGGGUUGCCCUGAGGAGAGCCUCAGAUGCUGAUACAUUAUCAGUGAACAAGUCUCACAACCCAUGGUGACGCCGGUGGGAUUCGAACCCACAUCUCCCACCGGUUAAGGUGGAGCUUUACCAAUUAAGCUACGGCGCCAUCACGGCUAGGUAAAACAGCACGGACAGCACAUCCAACUGGGCAGAUUACAGGCACUGUUCGGGUUCGUAACCCAGGGAAUGCUUCCCUGACACUGCCCUGGGCAACCCCCCAUUUGUCCCCGUUCCUAGCUUUCUUUUCUGAAUGCAACGGGCACUCCGCCACUAAGUGUUUGUCCUCCCCACAGUGGAGGCAACAGCCAUUUUUCCGGUGGUAAUCAUACUCCGCCCGAGUGCAGUAAAUCUUCGUCAUCCACUCUGCCGGAUUUGGAUCCCGGCCACGCUUGCCUAGCACCAUCAUCCCCGUUCCCCGUUCCCGCAGCAGCGGCCCUGGGCCGACCCUUGUCCCUAUGCUUGCCACCCCGACCCCUGCACCCACGGUUCGACUCACCAGCACCGGAGGCCUGGCGAGCUGUGUUCCGCCCAGCGGCAGCAGUAGCAGCCCGAGGCCUGACCUCCGGUGCCGGGAGGUCCCCAUCGUCAGUGAUGAUGGGUGCGGGAUCCUGCACAGCUGUGGAAACACGCAGAAGCACGCGGGUUUGGGUUUGAGAACGAAGUUUAGCAAGUUGACGGGCCUCAACACCAAGCGUGUGCUGCACAAGUUUUGCAUGUUCCUGAAAAGGUUUACCGUCACGGUCGGUCGCACAUCCUCCUGAAAACUCAGCAGAAAGGGCGCGGAUAAACCAGAAAAUCCGGUCAGCCUCCCAUAAGUCAGGAAUUGGUGCUAUGAGUGCCUCGAAACGACUAUGGUACGCGGCUACCGUUUCAUUCGCCCGCAUCUAAUGCUGCCCUGCAUCAAGUUUUUCUAGCGCCUCCAGUUUGCACAUUUGGAUCUGCGGGGCAAAACGAAUUAACAGUGCCUCCAAAAGUUGCUCUGAAGUAUAUUGCAACCGCGCGUUAGUCCAGUCAUCAUGCCAGGUUUUCACGGCGCCUUCAAGAGCAUUAGCUAAAAACAGGCAACGUAUACUGUCAUGGUUUCCGCCUCGCACGAAAUCAAAAUACUUCCGGACAUCACGGAUGAAGGCGCGGACACGUGGUGCAACUUCCCGCGAUAAGUCGCUUAGCUUAAUAUCGGCAGAGAUACUAAGCCUAUGUACUGGAAUAUUUAUCCUAAUCACCUCAUCACUGACCCCAGUGGGCAAAUCACGCUCGGUAGCGUCGUUGUUCCUUACAUCGCCGGCGGUCGUCCCGGUGGCGCGACCCGCGAUGUGUUCUACUGCAGGAAUCGGAACAGCAGAUGAGGGAUUAUUCAUACUUAUCAAUUGAUUAUUAUUAUUAUUAUUAUUAUUAUUAUUAUUAUUAUUAUUAUUAUUAUUAUUAUUAUUAUUAUUAUUAUUAUUAUUAUUGUUACACCGGUGUCCGCUCAACCUGGCGUGUGUUAAGGGGGGAACGCUCUGAGGUCUGCACCUAGUCAGUCCUAUAUGCUAUAUUCCCACCGCGUCACCUCUACGGGCCCUUUUCCACCCUAGAGUUCCACCUAUCGUUGGUGAGGACGCCACACUGUCGCUGUGGGACACGACCAGAGUCUGGUGCUCCUGUUACAACUUCAGGCCACGUGCAUGUCGCACCGCCACUUAUCAAUUGAUCAUUGUUACUCGGGGCAAUAGGCGGCGGCGGGACAGUUCCAAUGGUCAUAUCGAUAGCGGAGGCAAUCCCCAAUGACUUCGCCUAGUCUGCUCCAUUAAUGGAAUAUUCCAACUAUCCUGACCCAGAUCAGGCAGACCGCGUACCCAGGUUAAGAGAGCUGUCAAUUUUAUUGAAUGUCUGUUGCAGCACCGAACGGGUGCUACUGAGCCCUUGACAGAGCCUUCGGCAAAGGGC
This 2603-nucleotide long non-coding RNA is filed under the name Volvox carteri. RNAcentral describes it as "long non-coding RNA (VCAR_LNC000809)". The record is from RNAcentral. Lineage: Eukaryota; Viridiplantae; Chlorophyta; Chlorophyceae; Chlamydomonadales; Volvocaceae.